Molecule: long non-coding RNA, 216 nt
Filed under: Musa acuminata (dwarf banana)
Lineage: Eukaryota; Viridiplantae; Streptophyta; Magnoliopsida; Zingiberales; Musaceae
Description: long non-coding RNA (MACU_LNC008351)
Source: RNAcentral
CUCUAAGAAACAACCUCCUAACCCUAGCCGGCCUCUUCACCUCUUUAAUAGGAGUCGGCUUAGGUAGGUUUUACAUGAAUGUCCCUCUCAAUUAGGACUCUCCUAGCUAGAGUUCUAACAGACCCGCCUCUUCAAAUCAGCCUUGUCCUCGAGGCUGACAAUUCAUGAAUUUUGGGAAUUUGAUCUUCAAGUCGUCAUAGUUCUCCCAAGUGGCAU